This 337-nucleotide unclassified non-coding RNA is filed under the name Zea mays. Its description in RNAcentral is "misc RNA Zm00001eb062380". Lineage: Eukaryota; Viridiplantae; Streptophyta; Magnoliopsida; Poales; Poaceae. The record is from RNAcentral.
ACGCGCUCUGGAAACUUCGUCCAACUUCCACUGAGCGCUGACCAAAGUUUGGCUGGGGUGGUGCGCUCUGGAAACUUCGUCCAACUUCCAUUGCGUGCUGACCAAAGCUUGGCCGGGGUGGUGGGCGGUGCGGCGACGGACGCAUUCGACUUCUUGGUCAGGGUCGCUGGCGUGGUGGUGGCAGCUAGGGCCAUGGUGGACUUCUACGCCAUGGCUGCGUGUGCGGCCAUGGCACAGAGCAACGCUAGGCCGAGAGCGCUGGCGCGCGCCAUUGCUGUGGAAGUGUGCGGCGUAUAUUGUGCUGCUUUGUAUCGGGUUCUGGGUGCUUCUGCCUCAG